RNAcentral lists this ribosomal RNA (253 nucleotides) under uncultured bacterium. RNAcentral's name for it is "partial 16S ribosomal RNA". It matches the Rfam family "Bacterial small subunit ribosomal RNA", at positions 524 to 776 of the family's 1533-position model. The record is from RNAcentral.
UACGGAGGGUGCAAGCGUUAAUCGGAAUUACUGGGCGUAAGGCGCACGCAGGUGGCUGAGUCAGUCGAUUGUGAAAGCCCUGGGCUUAACCUGGGAAUUGCAGUCGAUACUACUCAGCUAGAGUAUGGGAGAGGGUAGUGGAAUUCCCGGUGUAGCGGUGAAAUGCGUAGAUAUCGGGAGGAACAUCAGUGGCGAAGGCGGCUACCUGGCCCAAUACUGACACUCAGGUGCGACAGCGUGGGGAGCAAACAGG